CAGGGUGACCAGGAACAGAACCAGGUGAUGGCAUAAGCCACCCUGACACCAUCCACACCGGAACCCAAGAAACCUGGGCACAGUACCCCAAGAUAGCUCAGGAAGAGAAGCUGAAGGGAGGAAAAAAAGGAUGAUAUGCCUGCAUCUGUCCAUCCUCGUCUUACCUCCACAUGGCAGCCAGAACGAUUGCGCAGGUGUCCGAAGUCGAAGGAGAGCGAGUCGGGACUGUUGCGUUUCUUGACCACAAAACAGAGGCUUGACCCCUGUAAAGUGUAACUCCAUGCAAGAAGAAAAGGGAACCAAAAAUAAAUCUGACUGAAAAAACCAACAAACUACUUCUCCGAGUGGAUGGGGCCUUUUGUCGCAGGUGGUGUCUUUGAUAAUGAUCUGCCUUCACAUCUGGCGCACAAGCACAAAGCAAUGCAAACGAACGCACCAAACAUGACUGCAUCUAAUCUCCCUUGAAGCAUAUACAGUCGGGCUAGCAUCUCAUCGUACUGCAUAUGCCGGGAGUGACAGAGCCCCUGAUCUGAUCUUAGAGGUCAUACCCGAGUGUUUUCUCAAAGCCAUGAAAGGAGCAAUAUAACCUCAGAUACAAUCAAACUCGGCAGAAGAGGAUGAAGUCAGAGUUUCUGAGCUUCACAAGAGUGCUGCAGUCUGAGGCAAGGAACAUCAAUGAGACCCUGAGCCGUGACUCAGUCGCUUAUAGACAAGCGAAACUAAAAACCUUCACACUCCCUCCUUAUGCUGCUGCAUAAAGCAAUGCUUAUAGUGCUGCCUCACCUUUACAAGUCAGCCAGAAUGGAAGACUGUACUGUAGUUUAGCCUCGCUUGUGCUUGUAAACAGGCCUUCAGAAAAGCCAUGGCAACGCAAGGGAGGACAUGCUUAUGUUUCCGUGAGGGAGUUCUGGCAGGGAGGCCUCUCAGAGGUGAAGGAAGUACAGAAUGAAUGGGUUCAGUGCCCCCUAGGCUACGGACCUCGAUCACCUAGCAACCUGGCAGAACCUUACCAAAAACCCUUGUUGCUCACUCACAUAUGCUCCAGACUAGAAGGAAUGAUCCGCCAAACUUAAAAUACAAAAAACAAAACAAGAAGCAACCCUGUAGUGGAAAGACUCACUUGCAUGGGCUGACCAAAGUGGUUCAGUGUUCAGGGCUUACUACCGUUCUAGGUUAAGUUAAGUUUAGUCUGGGAUGAUGGCCAGUACUGGGCCUGAGUCCAGAUCUCUGUUGUUUUAGCCUGAUGGAAAUGAGCGUUAUCUGCACCCUCACGGAUUCAAAGCCGCCGCAAUCUGCCACCCCUGCUCUCACCAUGAUUAAUGCAGACCAGAUGAGUAGAAAGGCCACAUGUGCGAGUUUGUGUGAGCUCGGAGACGAGAAAGGGAGCAAAGAGUGCUGUAGCUCAGCCAGAUCCCACAUGCUGAAUGAGGCCAAUUUGAGAUCUGAACACCAUCAGCAUAACUGAGGACGGACUGAAUUUCCCACACAGAUCAGUCCCUUUUUGACAGGGUUUGCUAUAGUGUGUGUGUGUGUGUGUGUGUGUGUGUGUGUGUUCAGCGCCAUUUCUACUGAUAACUGAUCCAUCAGAGCAGAUGAACCAACUUACUAU
Molecule: long non-coding RNA, 1609 nt
Organism: Ictalurus punctatus (channel catfish)
Lineage: Eukaryota; Metazoa; Chordata; Actinopteri; Siluriformes; Ictaluridae
Exons: 3
Source: RefSeq, a predicted model, not a curated record